RNAcentral lists this ribosomal RNA (325 nucleotides) under uncultured eukaryote. Its description in RNAcentral is "partial 18S ribosomal RNA". It matches the Rfam family "Eukaryotic small subunit ribosomal RNA", at positions 1470 to 1796 of the family's 1831-position model. The record is from RNAcentral.
CCCUUAGAUGUUCUGGGCUGCACGCGCGCUACACUGGUGCGUUCAGCGAGUUUAGCACCUUAACAGAUAUGUUUGGGUAAUCUUCUGAAAACGCACCGUGAUGGGGAUCGAUUAUUGUAAUUAUUAAUCGUCAACGAGGAAUUCCUAGUAAGUGUGAAUCAUCAGUUCGCGCUGAUUACGUCCCUGCCCUUUGUACACACCGCCCGUCGCUGCUACCGAUUGAGUGGUCCGGUGAAUUAUUCGGACCGGUGGACUGUGGGGAAACCCGCGGCCUGCUGGGAAGUCUUGUGAACCUUAUCACUUAGAGGAAGCAGAAGUCGCAACA